Molecule: long non-coding RNA, 310 nt
Filed under: Vitis vinifera (wine grape)
Lineage: Eukaryota; Viridiplantae; Streptophyta; Magnoliopsida; Vitales; Vitaceae
Description: long non-coding RNA (VVIN_LNC006604)
Source: RNAcentral
CCAUGCAUGCAUAUGGAAAAUCAUAAUUGGGGACCCGAGACAAAAUCACCACGGCGGGAGGAACUUAUCUGUUGUGGUGUCCGAAGGAAUUUCAAAAAUCUUAGGGACCUAAGACUAGAACGUCGUGGCGGGAGGCAUUGAGCGUCGCGACGCGAUAUUUAAAUUUUGAAAAUUAUUUGUUCUUAUCUCAUUUUGUUCAGAUCUAAAUUAGGUGGGACUCGAGUUUGUGAUACUGAGGUUAUAAAUAGGCGAAAGUAAGGUUUAUUUCAGAGAUCUUAGAGACUUGGAAGAAAGAGGAGCUUAAAGAAAA